Molecule: ribosomal RNA, 496 nt
Filed under: uncultured bacterium
Lineage: Bacteria
Description: partial 16S ribosomal RNA
Rfam family: Bacterial small subunit ribosomal RNA
Source: RNAcentral
AUUGAACACUGGCGGAAUGCUUUACACAUGCAAGUCGAACGGUAGAGGGGGCAACCCCUCGAGAGUGGCGAACGGGUGAGUAAUAUAUCGGAACGUGCCCAGUCGUGGGGGAUAACGUAGCGAAAGUUACGCUAAUACCGCAUACGAUCUAAGGAUGAAAGCGGGGGAUCGCCAGACUUCGCGCGAUUGGAGCGGCCGAUAUCAGAUUAGGUAGUUGGUGGGGUAAAGGCUCACCAAGCCAACGAUCUGUAGCUGGUCUGAGAGGACGACCAGCCUCACUGGAACUGAGACACGGUCCAGACUCCUACGGGAGGCAGCAGUGGGGAAUUUUGGACAAUGGACGCAAGUCUGAUCCAGCCAUUCCGCGUGCAGGAUGAAGGCCCUCGGGUUGUAAACUGCUUUUGUACGGAACGAAAAGGUCUCUCUUAAUACGGGGGGCUCAUGACGGUACCGUAAGAAUAAGCACCGGCUAACUACGUGCCAGCAGCCGCCGUAA